UUUUUUUCUUCUUCUUCUUUUUUCUUUUUUUUCUAAAAAAUAUUCAAUUGAACCUUCAUGCAAAGAUUUUAUUUGAACCUAUUUGCCUAUGGAUUUAUAAAUAGGUUUAAAUAGGUAUAUCGGUUUACAAGACCAGCCUCAUCACCUGACCAAGUCACAUGACUCCUAUAUCUGCUCACAGUGUCCUGAUUACUAAUCACACACACCUGUCUCCCAUUUACAAACUCACCUUCUCACACACACACUUCAGAAAAUCUCGCACAAGCCUUUUCUGUGAUUCCACGAGUUUGUUUGUUUGUUUGUUUGUUUGUUUUACUGUUAAAGUUUUGGGGGGGUUUUCCCCCCCUUUUCUUCUUGAGUUUAUUUAAGUCUGUUUGUUGAUCACCUGGCUUGGUUUCAACCGCCAUUUUGGAUUUAUCUGAUUGACUACCUCCUGGCUUUUAAAACCCACCCUGCUCCUUCUUCCCUCCAGCUCCCUGCUUUAUACCUGACAGUUUGUUUGCUGGACUUGGCGUCAUUGUGCCGUCAUUUUCUGAGGGAAAACCCUGGGAAUACGAUCGCACCGCUGGACUACGUUCCCCACAAGUCAACAUGACCGUGUUUUCCUCGAAGGUUAAAAAGCGACCAUAGUGGAACUGGAGUUUUUCCACCCGGAGGCGAAAAUCUUUUUCGAGGAAAACCCCGUCUCGUGAUUUUUAAGAAGAAUUUUUUUUUUUUUUUUAAAUUUUAUUUAUUACAUUUUUUAUCUCACAAAUCUGUGCCGUCAUUUGUGACGAAUAAAACCGUCUUCUGAUCAGACUGUUCAACAAAA
Molecule: long non-coding RNA, 811 nt
Organism: Ictalurus punctatus (channel catfish)
Lineage: Eukaryota; Metazoa; Chordata; Actinopteri; Siluriformes; Ictaluridae
Exons: 3
Source: RefSeq, a predicted model, not a curated record